CCACCAGCUCGGUUUUGUUCAUUCAUGCCAACAACCAAAAAAAUGCAGCAUGCCUGAAACUAUAUAGUACCUACAUGCUCUGUGUCAGUGUUGCAAAAUUUGAAACUGAACUCUUGGGGAGUAAAUGGAAAGAGUUUUAUGGAAUACAAGGGAAUUAAAAUCUUAGCUUGGUCUCUAGCUGAAACCAAAGGAUGCAUGAUACUACCAAUGGAACAAAUCAUAUAUGAGAUGGCAAAAUGAGUGGGAUUGACCUGCUGAACCAGAGGGCAGCGAAAGAUCAACAAUGAGAAAUCUAUUUUUUUUCUGCAAAAGUGCGUGCGGGUUGAUUAAAGAAAACGAUAGGGGGUUCUGCAAAAGUGCGUGCGUUGACCGGUCCAGCCACCUGGCUGCCAACUGUCGAGCUGUAAUUGGCCUGGGACUAAAUCAUCACAUGAGGUGCAAGUUGGGGUAUAGUGGAGUCAAGUUUUGCAAGUUUGGAACUGAAUCAUCACAUUGUAUGCAAGUUAGGAUACCUGCUAUUAGCUCAUUUCUAAGGGAGAUGUUCCAUCCAUCCUCCUACCUGCCGCCACCUACCUGCCUUCUCUGCCUCGGGAUCCUCCCGAUCCAGUUCCACCCGAGACCAAUUGCAGCCUCCACCUUCUCCUCGUUUUCUCCUCCUGUCCAACCACCGCCGCUGCCCAAAUCCUACAGGAGCCCAAGCUCCUCUGCCCGUGCGCCCACCUCUCCCGCAACACCUCCAGCUCCCUGUCCUCCCCUUCCCGCACGCCUUCCUCCUGCUUCGAGGAGCCACUCAUGCUCGAUCUCCACUACAGCCGCUGCUCAAGCCCCACGCCGCAACUCCAGUUCGUCUGCCGCCGUCCCCGGCGAGCUGCACCACCGACGGUCCGCGAACCAGGCCGCUCCCGCACCCCAGCCUCCUCACGUGCGAGCAGCAGCACAACCCCGAGCAUCCCCACGCCUGCGUGCCCGCCUCCCCAACCACCUCGCGUCGCCGGCAAGCUCUGCAGAUUCUAGCCAUGGAUGGGGGCCGAAGCCACCGACCGCUGCCUGGAGCCUCGCCUGCGCUGCAUCCCCCACUGGACCUCCCCUGUUUCGCCUCCCGCACCAAGCUCCUCAAGUUCCGCGUCCGUCGUGGCCAUGGAGCUCGUCGGCGUCGUCCUCGCCUGCAUCCGCCUCGGCCCUCGUCAGCAAGCUUCCGCAGCGUCUGGCCCUGCCAUGGCGGCUCGGCCUCCCCUGCUUCCUGUGUUAACCGCCGCACCAAGUCCCAGUCUCGCGCUCGGCCUCUGGAUCGAUCGAUCCAAUGCCAUGCCAGGCCUCCCCAUGUCCCGCCCAGCUAGGGCCUCCUCAACCGGCCUACCUCCUCCACCGAACGGGCCAAUGGCCCAUGUUGCAGGUACAGGUAAUGCGAUGAUCUGACACGAGUGCGAUUCUUGCUUGUUUGGAGUUCUCCUUCUUUGACCAAGGGAUAUGUUCCUGGUGGGGGAGCCUGGGAUUAGUAGGGUGGAUAUCGUUCUCCUUUUUCGUUUGAUUUCAUCCGUAGUCGGAUCCUGCUCUUCUGUAUGAUGGUUGCUAUCUAUUGAUGUAUUGUUGUAUGAAUGUUGUAACUUGUGGCGAGUGUAAGCCUUUAUAUUGUAUUCUCAUCUAUUCAAUACAUGGUAUGUUGUAAUGAUA
This is a non-coding RNA of Triticum urartu, 1671 nucleotides long. The record is from RefSeq and is a predicted model, not a curated record. NCBI's taxonomy places the organism in Eukaryota, Viridiplantae, Streptophyta, Magnoliopsida, Poales, Poaceae.